AGAACGAACGCUGGCGGCAGGCCUCAAACAUGCAAGUCUAGGGGGACGUAGCAAUACGUCACCGGCGGACGGGUGCGUAACACGUGGGAAUGUACUUACUGGUUCGGAACAACUCAGGGAAACUUGAGCUAAUACCGAAUGUGCCCGAAAGGGGAAAGAUUUAUCGCCAGUAAAUCAGCCCGCGUCCGAUUAGCUAGUUGGUGGGGUAAAGGCUCACCAAGGCGACGAUCGGUAGCUGUUCUGAGAGGAAGAUCAGCCACACUGGGACUGAGACACGGCCCAGACUCCUACGGGAGGCAGCAGUUGGGAAUCUUGGACAAUGGGGGAAACCCUGAUCCAGCCAUGCCGCGUGAGUGAUGAAGGCCUUCGGGUUGUAAACUCUUUCGACGGGGACGAUAUGACGGUACCGUAGAAGAGCUCCGGCUAACUUCGCGCCAGCAGCCGC
RNAcentral lists this ribosomal RNA (445 nucleotides) under uncultured bacterium. RNAcentral describes it as "SSU rRNA". It matches the Rfam family "Bacterial small subunit ribosomal RNA", at positions 26 to 518 of the family's 1533-position model. The record is from RNAcentral.